This is a non-coding RNA of Mycena polygramma, 76 nucleotides long. Lineage: Eukaryota; Fungi; Basidiomycota; Agaricomycetes; Agaricales; Mycenaceae. The record is from the annotation of a GenBank genome assembly.
UUGGACGUGGUGCACCUGGCAUGCAUGGCUCUGCUAAAUCUGCUCGCAAUCCGGGGUUCGACUCCCCGCGUCCAAG